This 397-nucleotide long non-coding RNA is filed under the name Homo sapiens (human). RNAcentral's name for it is "HSALNT0004715". The record is from RNAcentral. Lineage: Eukaryota; Metazoa; Chordata; Mammalia; Primates; Hominidae.
UGGGCUGCUUGCUCUUGAAGCCUUCAGUCUCUAUGCACGCAGCAUGCCUUCCCAGCCUCCUGUGGUUGUAGAGUGUAUAGAAGGCAGUUGGAUCACUAUGGACAGCGGGUAAGAGCUGAGGAAGCAGCCUCCGCCAGGUGGUAACAUGGAGGACCCUGAAGGGAGCACAGUGCAGAGAAGAGCCCAGAAUUUUGUGAAUGUCCAACUUAGAGCUCAACAUUUCCAUUUGGAUGUUUAAUAGGCAGCAGGCCAAUUAAAUCAAGCAUAUUCCUCAGUAUCAUGGAGAGACUGGAGGUUAGAGACACCAAAACCAUCCCUGGCUUAAUGACUUUGGGAUCCCUGGGCCCCUCCAUGCAGCAGAACGGCAAUUAACCAAGCAAAGGAAGAGAGGGCAGCA